CCUACGGGAGGCAGCAGUGGGGAAUAUUGGACAAUGGGCGAAAGCCUGAUCCAGCCAUGCCGCGUGUGUGAAGAAGGCCUUCGGGUUGUAAAGCACUUUCAGUGGGGAAGAAAGCCUUGGGGCUAAUACCCUCGAGGAAGGACAUCACCCACAGAAGAAGCACCGGCUAACUCCGUGCCAGCAGCCGCGGUAAUACGGAGGGGGCGAGCGUUAAUCGGAAUUACUGGGCGUAAAGCGCGCGUAGGCGGUCUGAUAAGCCGGUUGUGAAAGCCCCGGGCUCAACCUGGGAACGGCAUCCGGAACUGUCAGGCUAGAGUGCAGGAGAGGAAGGUAGAAUUCCCGGUGUAGCGGUGAAAUGCGUAGAGAUCGGGAGGAAUACCAGUGGCGAAGGCGGCCUUCUGGACUGACACUGACGCUGAGGUGCGAAAGCGUGGGUAGCAAACAGGAUUAGAUACCCGAGUAGUC
This 465-nucleotide ribosomal RNA is filed under the name Vreelandella stevensii. RNAcentral's name for it is "partial 16S ribosomal RNA". It matches the Rfam family "Bacterial small subunit ribosomal RNA", at positions 338 to 795 of the family's 1533-position model. The record is from RNAcentral. Lineage: Bacteria; Pseudomonadati; Pseudomonadota; Gammaproteobacteria; Oceanospirillales; Halomonadaceae.